RNAcentral lists this ribosomal RNA (497 nucleotides) under uncultured bacterium. RNAcentral's name for it is "partial 16S ribosomal RNA". It matches the Rfam family "Bacterial small subunit ribosomal RNA", at positions 28 to 507 of the family's 1533-position model. The record is from RNAcentral.
GAUGAACGCUGGCGGCGUGCCUAAUACAUGCAAGUCGAGCGAACAGACGAGGAGCUUGCUCCUCUGACGUUAGCGGCGGACGGGUGAGUAACACGUGGAUAACCUACCUAUAAGACUGGGAUAACUUCGGGAAACCGGAGCUAAUACCGGAUAAUAUAUUGAACCGCAUGGUUCAAUAGUGAAAGACGGUUUUGCUGUCACUUAUAGAUGGAUCCGCGCCGCAUUAGCUAGUUGGUAAGGUAACGGCUUACCAAGGCGACGAUGCGUAGCCGACCUGAGAGGGUGAUCGGCCACACUGGAACUGAGACACGGUCCAGACUCCUACGGGAGGCAGCAGUAGGGAAUCUUCCGCAAUGGGCGAAAGCAUGACGGAGCAACGCCGCGUGAGUGAUGAAGAUCUUCGGAUCGUAAAACUCUGUUAUAAGGGAAGAACAAAUGUGUAAGUAACUAUGCACGUCUGGACGGUACCUAAUCAGAAAGCCACGGCUAAAUAAGUG